UGGGGUGCUCGAGUGGCGAACGGGUGAGUAACACGUGAGUAACCUGCCCUUGACUUUGGGAUAACUUCAGGAAACUGGGGCUAAUACCGGAUAGGAGCUCCUGCUGCAUGGUGGGGGUUGGAAAGUUUCGGCGGUUGGGGAUGGACUCGCGGCUUAUCAGCUUGUUGGUGGGGUAGUGGCUUACCAAGGCUUUGACGGGUAGCCGGCCUGAGAGGGUGACCGGCCACAUUGGGACCGGGAUACGGCCCAG
Molecule: ribosomal RNA, 250 nt
Filed under: uncultured Actinomycetales bacterium
Lineage: Bacteria; Bacillati; Actinomycetota; Actinomycetes; Actinomycetales
Description: partial 16S ribosomal RNA
Rfam family: Bacterial small subunit ribosomal RNA
Source: RNAcentral